GACCACGUAGCUCAGUUGGCAGAGCAUUUGACUUUUAAUCAAAGGGUCGAAGGUUCAAAUCCUUCCGUGGUCA
This 73-nucleotide transfer RNA is filed under the name Chlorobiota bacterium. Its description in RNAcentral is "tRNA-Lys". It matches the Rfam family "tRNA". Rfam says of the family: Transfer RNA (tRNA) molecules are approximately 80 nucleotides in length. Their secondary structure includes four short double-helical elements and three loops (D, anti-codon, and T loops). The record is from RNAcentral. Lineage: Bacteria; Pseudomonadati; Chlorobiota.